Nicotiana tabacum (common tobacco) is the source of this 1047-nucleotide non-coding RNA. The record is from RefSeq and is a predicted model, not a curated record. Lineage: Eukaryota; Viridiplantae; Streptophyta; Magnoliopsida; Solanales; Solanaceae.
GUUUUAUAAGUUUUCUUUUAGUGUUUUCCCCCUCUGUCUCUCUCACUCCACGCACAGACGAGUCUUCACUCCAUUCCCAGGUGUUUGAUUCUUUUGCGGUUGAAGGAGAGAGAAUCUGAUUUUGAUCGAAUGGGUCAUUUUCUUUUACCAAAAGAGGCAAAUAUUAAGAUGGAACGAGAUCGUAGAGGGAUGUACAAUAGAAAUCAUCCUAAUCGUGGGGGAUUGAAGGAAGAAUUUGUAGAAGGUGUUAAAGGAUUUAUUGCUUAUGCAAAAACACUUUCUGAAUUCUGUAAUGAAGGAACGAUUAGAUGUCCUUGUGCUAAGUGCAAUUGUAUAAAGUUAUUGAUAUCGGAGGAUGUUAAAGUUCAUCUUUACAGAAAAGGGUUUAGAGAAAAUUAUUAUGUGUGGACGGUUCAUGGAGAGAACUAUAGUAAUUUAGCUGAUGUUGACUUUCAGAAUCUUACUGGUUGUGAGAGUGGUACAUUCUUUGAGAAUUGUUCUAAUAGGUUGUCUGAUAUGCUUCGGACUGCUCGAGAAAUUAAUGGGAGGCCAACUUGGAUUCUUGAUGAUAUAUGGGUUAAACUUCUUGAAUAUUGAAAAUCUCCGGAAUUUUAGAGGAUGAGCCGCCAGGGAAGGAAAGCCACUAUGUCCGACAAGGGUGGCUCUGUGCACACGGGGGUUCAAUUAGUAUGACGGCUCAUUGAAGAAGAUUGGAAAAGACUAAAGAAAGACCAGUUACUCAUGAUGAGGUGUUUGAGGAAACCCACAUGAAGAAGUUGAAGGAUGGAACAAAAAUGACUUGGGUCGAGAUGCGCGCCGACACAACCCAUAUUCAGGUGUAGCUGGACACGGUAGCAGUUAUUGAUUGUUCUGGUUGUAGAUUUUCUUGGAGAUAGCAAAGUAGCUGUUUGGCAAUCAUAGCACCUGUUCUUCUUCCUCUUAUCUUCCUCUAGCUGUAUUUAGCUAUUUCCAGGCUCAGUUAGCCUUGAUAUUAGCCAGAUUGUAGUAGAUGCUCAUGACUAGUGACACCCUGAUUUGUUAAAUGAA